RNA transcript from Salvia miltiorrhiza (redroot sage), 2180 nucleotides. RefSeq lists it as uncharacterized. The transcript is spliced from 6 exons. Lineage: Eukaryota; Viridiplantae; Streptophyta; Magnoliopsida; Lamiales; Lamiaceae. The record is from RefSeq and is a predicted model, not a curated record.
AGAAAAGCCCAAGCCCGGUCAAAAUUCACUGUUUCACAUGUAAUACUCAUCGGUGCCCCCCCUUCCGAUACGGUUCGGAAAUCAAAAGUGAAUUUCAAAAUUGCCUCAAUUACCCUUUCAAUUUUUCAUUCAAAUCUUCCAAAAGAAAUUCAAGCGCCCAUUCUUCGUCUGCCUCGGCUGAAAAUCGCGUAACCUAGCGAAUAGCGAAGAAGGGUCACCCGGCGACCGUUGCAGCGAAGCUGGUUUCCUUCGCUCUUGGACAAAGGAUAAUUGUUGCCAAUAAAGCAGGCUCCAGAGAUUCGGAUACUCAUUGCUAUGUUUUAUAUAAUGUCGGGGGAGGGCGCAUUCGCGAAACUGAAAUUCUCUAUAUGUUAUUGCAAGAAGUGUUGCAGCAACAAUUGAUUCAAAUAGCUAUCGUUGUUGUGUAUGUAAAUAAAUUAAUGUAAAAAAAAAGGAAGACUGUAGGUACAGCUGCUAGAUAUGAAAUGAUAACUCGAAUCCCGGAUCAGGUGAAGCACUUAGGGAGGCUAAUUAGUGCUAACGAUAUAGAUUGUAUCGUAAACCUCCGUAUGGACCGUAAUGCUUUCGGUCGGCUGUGUCAAAUACUCAGGGAUAUGGGGGGAUUAGUCAAUGGUCGCCACGUUAGUGUGGAAGAACAAGUUGUUAUGUUCGUCUCGGUCCUAGCCCAUCACAAAAAGAACAGAAUAGUAGGAUUUGAUUUUUGGCGGUCUGGACAAACAAUAUUACAUUAUGUCCAUGUGGUAUUAGGUGCCAUUUUGCGAUUACAUGAGACAUUUUUAGCCAAACCAGAUGUUGUCACGGAUGAUUGCACAGACUCUAGGUGGCAAUGGUUCAAGGGAUGUUUAGGCGCUUUAGAUGGCACAUACGUCAAUGUCUUGGUUAGCAAUACAGACAAACCGAGAUAUAGGACUCGGAAAGGUGAAAUCUCCACUAAUGUGUUAGCUGUUUGUGAUCGAAAAUUGCAAUUUGUGUAUGCUCUGUGUGGGUGGGAAGGAUCUGCCUCAGACUGUAGGAUACUGCGGGACUCAUUAACCAGGCCCCAUGGCCUCAAAGUGCCCAAGGGUAAAUAUUAUUUGUGUGAUAAUGGGUAUGCAAAUAGCGAUGGCUUCCUCACCCCUUUCAAAGGAGUUCGAUAUCACUUGAAAGAGUGGGGCCCUUUGGCUGGAAGACCUCAAAAUAAGGAGGAGCUAUUCAAUCUUCGACAUAGUAAGGCUCGUAAUGUAAUCGAGAGAGCUUUUGGGAUCAUGAAGAUGCGAUGGGGAAUUCUCAGAUCCACUACAUCCCAUAAAAAUACAAAAUAGAUUAAUUAUGGCAUGCUUUUUAUUGCAUAAUUUCAUUCGUAAGGAGAUGUCAAUUGACCAGUUGAACAACAAUUUGAUGAGCUGCAUGAGAUGAAUGGUGGUGUGGAAGCUGAACAUGAUGACUUCGUUGAUACAAUCGAGGCUUCCCCUGUUUGGAAUGCCAAGAGAGAAGCAUUAGCUGCAGAAAUGUGGCAACAAUAUUUAAAUUUUGUCUAGGAUGGCUUGUACGUCAGAGGGAUCAACGACCACCCCAAUCUGUAGCUGUCGGCGAUAUAUGAUGCGUCUAGCUUGUGCAGGUCCCACAUCUAUGAAUCCGGGACGCUAUUAUUAUAAAUGCACCAGCGGUGUACCUCAUAACAAAGAUUUUAUGUGGUGGGAUGAGUACCACGGAUCAAUGACCACGAGAGCGUCAUCUGCAGCCUUCAAUCCAACAUAAGCAAUUGUCAAUCGUCUACCACAACAGGACAGAAUCUCCACUAGUUUAGUCGCAGGUUCAGAGCUGGUUGACGGUCGCGGUGGAUUUCAUUCACCGCGUGGAUACCUGGAGUUCCACAAAGCAAUAUUGUUGAUGUUUCUUGGUGUGUUGGUCGUCGGUAUCUUGAUUGGUCUGUUUAUGUAGGUGGUGGUUAGUUGUGCCUCUGAUUGUAAUCAAAGAUUUUAUGUGGUACUAGUUACAACUUAUUUUGCUUUUGUGUUUUAAUGAGACAUCAGAACUCUAUGUUAGACUUGGUUAGUUGUGCCUCUGAUUGUAAAAUAUAUUCUCACAACUCUACUUUGUGUUGCUGCAUGUUUGUGGCUUAAUGCGCGUGUAGAUGCUAUGUUAUUUGACAUCUAUUAAAUUUAAGUUAGCAUGUAUUA